CACAUACACACACACACCACCUUCAGCUACCAAAUUCUUAGCCAAGUAAGCAUGGCCAGCGUGAAGUCGACCCGUGCAGCGGCGGCCCUGGUGCUGGUAGCGGCACUGGCGCUGGCGCUGACGCUGGCGGAAGCGUCGUCCUGCCCCCAAGGAGAUUUCCCUGGAGAUUUCUGUGUCAGUGAAAUCGGCCGUGAUCUGGCAGCUGUGGGAUGAGCUCCUACCGCAUGAUCGCAUAAAAGUAAUUCAAGAGGAAUUGGCGGAAUUCUUUCUUUACCACGUCAUCAAUAAAGCCGGAGAAUACCAUGUGUAACUUGACUUCAGAUAUUAAGGAUUGUAAUAGAUCUUAUAUUGUAUAUAUGUAGCUACUAGCGUCGGAUAGAUAUACGAAAACUUAUUGUUCAACCAAUCUCUCGAAGAAUGAGAGGUCGACCACUUCUCUCUAUAUAUGUUCAUGACGAUCUUCUAUA
Long non-coding RNA from Triticum aestivum (bread wheat), 467 nucleotides. RefSeq lists it as uncharacterized. Lineage: Eukaryota; Viridiplantae; Streptophyta; Magnoliopsida; Poales; Poaceae. The transcript has 2 exons. The record is from RefSeq and is a predicted model, not a curated record.